Molecule: long non-coding RNA, 858 nt
Organism: Pseudophryne corroboree (corroboree frog)
Lineage: Eukaryota; Metazoa; Chordata; Amphibia; Anura; Myobatrachidae
Exons: 7
Source: RefSeq, a predicted model, not a curated record
GUAAGAGAAGCUGGGACUGAAAUGGGGAAUGAGAGGAGCAUAGAGUGAGAGGCUCAGGGGGAGAGAUGGGAGAGUGAGAGGCACAGGGGUGAGAUAGAAGUAGAGGUGGAAAGGGUAGCAGGGAGUGAGAGGUGUAGGGCUUAAGUAAAGGAGAGAAAGAUUUAGGUGAUCAGACAUAAAGGUAUAUAGGGAACACGGGUUGCCUAGGAUGAAGAUUUGGACACGAGGAGAGUGACAGACAAAGAAAACAAGAAAUAAGAAAGGACAUAUGGAAGACAUAGAGUAACGGAUGCAAAAUGGGUUUCAGUACAGAUUCGACUUUAGGGAAAAGAAAGAAGUCACAGGAUGCUAGGUCUGGUGGGACAAUGGGUCGUACACGUGAUGUGACGGAGUGGCAAAAGGGAAGUUGUUUUUGGCCGAGAGCAUGGCCAUAGCCUGGAGGAGGUGGUGGCGUUUAUUGGUGUGCCUUCAAAGACAGCAAGAGAGUGAGAACAGAGGCACUGUGAAAGAACAGCAACACUUUAUAACAAUUAUCACUUAAUUACAAAUUUAUUGGAGCAAGCACAAUUCUCCCCGAAACCGAUGAUGUCACAUGCUAUUGCUUUAUUGCGAUUCAUUCCUCUAUAUUGGAAUGUACAACAAAGAGGAAGGAGGACAACACUGUACCAUCAGAUUACUUCUGCUGACGUGGCUCUUGAGAAGAGACUGUACAGAUAAUUGAAAAAUGUUGGCUGCCUUUUCAAAUCAUGCAUGCGGCAAACCCUUAUACAAGGAUGCGAGCGUGCAGCCACAGUAGUGAGCCGGAGCAGCUGCAGAAAGGAGGCGGGAAUCUCUGCUGACAGGAGGAGCCCCUACCUG